This 301-nucleotide ribosomal RNA is filed under the name uncultured bacterium. Its description in RNAcentral is "partial 16S ribosomal RNA". It matches the Rfam family "Bacterial small subunit ribosomal RNA", at positions 509 to 807 of the family's 1533-position model. The record is from RNAcentral.
CAGUCGCCGCGGGAAUACGAAGGGGGCUAGCGUUGCUCGGAAUGACUGGGCGUAAAGGGCGCGUAGGCGGAUUGUUUAGUUAGGCGUGAAAUUCCUGGGCUUAACCUGGGGACUGCGCUUAAUACAGGCAGUCUAGAGUGAGGAAGAGGGUUGUGGAAUUCCCAGUGUAGAGGUGAAAUUCGUAGAUAUUGGGAAGAACACCGGUGGCGAAGGCGGCAACCUGGUCCUUGACUGACGCUGAGGCGCGAAAGCGUGGGGAGCAAACAGGAUUAGAUACCCCUGUAGUCCCUGUCUCUUAUAC